GAGGAGGGGGCACCCAGAAGGGGCCCUGAAGUCAAGGGCAUCGUCCAACCUUUCUACCUCCCCAGCUGAAGACAGGCUGGAGGACAAUUCUCCAGAGUUUCAUAACAAAGAAGAGAAAAAAGAAAUCAAAAAGCCCUGGAGGAUAGGGAGUGUGACCACUGUAUGUCAGCCACUGGGGGACCGGCUUCAGCUUACAACCACCUUCCAAAUUCCACCCUCUCACCUUGGCAGAAGCUGGCCAGGAAUUGGGGCCAAUGGAUGGGUGGGGUCUGCACAGGACACCGUAUUCAGGUCCCCAUGACGGCCUCACACAAAGGUGGUGGCCCUGCAGUUCCAGGUGCCACACAAACGCCAGCCCCUGCUCGGGCCCUGAUCUUUGAGGAAGGGGAGCAGCAGAACCCGAGCACUGACCCCACAGUGCCACUCACACCCACAGACGAUUCUCCACAGAGGCAUCAGGUCUCGGUCUUGGCCACCUCCUCCUGCAGGGCCUCAGCUGUUUCCUGGGACUCACGUGGUCCUUCCUCACAUGCAGCUCUGGUGCUAGUUCUGGCAAAGCCAGUCACCUGCCCAGGGCAGAGAGUAGCCUGAAGCUGAUGCUACGGAGAGACUGGGGCCUUCAGUCCAACAGCCUGCAAGCAAUAGAAUUCUGCCAGCAACACAGAAGCGAGCGUGGAAGCAGCUCCUCCCCUGAUGAGCCUGAGCCUUCAGAAGACAUGGCAGCCCUGAGCAGACACUUGCUGCAGCCGCGGAGAGCCCCUGGGGCAGAGGGCCCAGUGAAGCCUGCACUCCUGGCCCAAGGAGUAAGCAUUCCUGUGGUAUAACUGUGUGCUGGUGUGGGCCACAGUUUGGAGUCAUCUGUCAGGGGACAAUAAAGAACAAACACACGCCUCA
Molecule: long non-coding RNA, 894 nt
Filed under: Piliocolobus tephrosceles (Ugandan red Colobus)
Lineage: Eukaryota; Metazoa; Chordata; Mammalia; Primates; Cercopithecidae
Description: lncRNA (ENSPTEG00000001358.1)
Source: RNAcentral